GUGGAUUAGAUACCCUGGUAGUCCUAGCCGUAAACGAUGAACACUAGGCGUAGUCGGUAUCGACCCCGGCUGUGCCGUAGCUAACGCAUUAAGUGUUCCGCCUGGGGAGUACGGCCGCAAGGCUAAAACUCAAAGGAAUUGACGGGGGCCCGCACAAGCAGCGGAGCGUGUGGUUUAAUUCGUCGCAACGCGAAGAACCUUACCAGGGCUUGACAUGUGGCGGAAAACGGCGGAAACGUCGUCCUCCCGCAAGGGACCGUCAUGCAGGUGUUGCACGGCUGUCGUCAGCU
Molecule: ribosomal RNA, 290 nt
Filed under: uncultured bacterium
Lineage: Bacteria
Description: partial 16S ribosomal RNA
Rfam family: Bacterial small subunit ribosomal RNA
Source: RNAcentral